CGAAAGCCUGACGGAGCAAGACCGCGUGAGGGAGGAAGGCUCUUGGGUUGUAAACCUCUUUUCUCAGGGAAGAAGCUCUGACGGUACCUGAGGAAUCAGCCUCGGCUAACUCCGUGCCAGCAGCCGCGGUAAUACGGAGGAUGCAAGCGUUAUCCGGAAUCACUGGGCGUAAAGCGUCUGUAGGUGGUUCAGUAAGUCUGUUGUCAAAGAUUAGGGCUCAACCCUAAAUAGGCAGUGGAAACUACUAGACUAGAGCACAGUAGAGGUAGAGGGAAUUCCCAGUGUAGCGGUGAAAUGCGUAGAGAUCGGGAAGAACAUCGGUGGCGAAAGCGCUCUACUGGACGGCAACUGACACUCAGGGACGAAAGCUAGGGGAGCG
Molecule: ribosomal RNA, 379 nt
Filed under: uncultured cyanobacterium
Lineage: Bacteria; Bacillati; Cyanobacteriota
Description: bacterial SSU rRNA
Rfam family: Bacterial small subunit ribosomal RNA
Source: RNAcentral